RNAcentral lists this long non-coding RNA (14267 nucleotides) under Monomorium pharaonis (pharaoh ant). RNAcentral describes it as "uncharacterized LOC118647426". The record is from RNAcentral. Lineage: Eukaryota; Metazoa; Arthropoda; Insecta; Hymenoptera; Formicidae.
UGUGUGUGCUGUGUGAUUUAUAAUUAUAAAAAUUAUUAAAAGUUAAAAAAGUGCUAAAUUAAAGGAAACAAAACAUAUUAGAUAGGGUAGAUAGUAUAAUAAUCUGAAUUAAAAAGUUAGCAAAUAUUAAUAUAUAUAGGUAUGUGUAUAGAAUUUAUUUGACUAUAAUAUUUCUUGUGUUGAAUUUUAAAUGUAACUAGGAAAAAAGAUCUUACUAUUUAAAUAGCAUGAGGCAUAUUGUUACAGUUGUCAUAAUCUUCGGGACGUUAGUGAGCCUAUCCAUUGCCACUAAAAAAAAGUUUGUUUUGACGUACUGCAUAAUUUUCUGCUAAUUAUCUGCUAAUCUUUUGACUUAGUCCCGAAUUUUUUGCUCCUACAUGUUUUCCGGAAAUUAAGACCAAAAGUGGGGGUGCUAAGUCACGUGACGCUAGCACCUCCCACUAAUAAAAAAAGCAUAAACAAAUAUACCAAAAUUGUCUACUUAUUUUCUGUUUUAAGAAACCCAGUAGGUUUUCCCAAAGGUAGACCACAUAUUUCUCAAUGUCCCCAAGGAAUUCCUCCAUUAGGAAAGGAUACUUCUUAUCCGGGGAAACCUCGAGGAUAAACCUCCUGAUGUCGGAGAUACUUUUCACUAUUUCCGAUACAUCUUGUCGAGCACAUCCGCUCCGUCCUCCGAAGCAGAGGACGAAGCAGAUCCAUCGUCUGACGAUUUUUUUAGCCGCUCUUCUUUUUGAAGCCACUGGAGCUCGCGCCGAACUCCGAUGGGGUCCCCACGCUCGAUGACGACGAGGUAGCGCCAGGUCUCUUAGCGCCACCCCGCCGGCCCAUGGUAUCCGACCCCAAGGAGUCUCUUCUUCUUGGACUCGGCAUAUUAUGUUGGUUUUUUAUUGGAGUUUUUCUUUUCCUAGUUUGAUGGCCUGGGGGCCUAACGGGUUCGGACAUUUGGGAAGAGAUGGAGUUAGCCGAGGCAGCCCAUAUUCGCCUUGUUAUGGAGUCUAACCCAGGAGAGGCAUUUUAUAGGUCGUUUUUUUCACAAGGAACGCCCACCAAUUCUCCGGACACUCCACCUCUUAUACAUCUUAUUUCUAAGACGUACUGCAUGCUCUUGGUUACCCCACCAUUGAUAAUCUUAAACAUCGAUGAUACGGCUUAAGCUUCUUUAUCAUGAUAAGGUGGCGUGCGAUGAAGAAGGAAUAUCGGUACUUUAAUAACCGUUUUAUAUUUUUGGUAUCUUUUUACAGUUUUUUAAAGCAGAAAAUGAGCAGAAAAUUGUGGUAUAUUUAUUUUUUUUGUUUAUGCCUUUUUUAAUUAAUGGGGAUGUGCCAGCGUCACGUAAACUUAACACACCCACUUUUGGUCUCAAUUUCCGGCGAACAGGUAAGAGCAAAAAAUUCGAGACUAGGGCAAAAAAUGAGCAGGUAAUUAGCAGAAAAUUAUGCGGUAUGUCUAAACUUUUUUUUUAGUGGUGGGGGUGUUAGGUUAGGUUAGGUUACUGAUGUACCUUUGGGACGAUUGCAAGAGAAAAGUUUUUACUUUGCAUUUUAAUCAAUAAAACAAGGAAACUUUACAGUCUUCUUAAACCUUAAGCAAGUGUCUUUUUUAGACGUGAAUGUUAAUAUAUUCUAUUUAAUGUCUUAAAAACCUCUUUAAUUUAUUUACAUUUAGCCAGCUAACCAUUUGCUAUCAAAUUACUAACAGUAGAGGAACAAUUUUCUGCGGAGUGAAAUUGCCAAAUUCAGGGCUUACUUUGUCCUCGAGUGCACUCCAAUUGCAACCAAAACUUGAUAUUAUAUUUUAAUACAAAAUUAAUUGUAAUACUACUGCAGAUUUGCUAUUAACAGUGAGGCAUCAGAUUGAAGCAACAAAUUGACAGCAUGUUUGUCAACUGCAAACCCAUAACAGAUUUGCACCAAAUAUUCAGCAGAUCUGUGUGCAGAAUUUAUAACAAAUUGACGACAAACCUAAGCAGAUCUAUCUGCAGAAUGCAAGAACGAUGGCAAGUUGACAACAAACAUGAGGUAGAUCUGUUUGCAAAAACCAUGGCAGAUCAGUAAUCAGUUCUAUUAGUCCAGAAUGUUUUAUUUUCAACGUGGAAAGAGAAAGACACCCCUUUUGUUAAUCUUAUUUUAAUCUUUUUUAUUGACUGACAUAUUUCUAGUAUUAUAUAUAUGUUGAUGGCGAAAUCUUACUUUCUUCUGUGCUCUAUUGCGAGCCUCUUUUAUUCAUAAGAAAGUGCAGUUUUGUUCAGAGAAAACUUAUAUAGCGCUACAUAGCGAUGGGUAGUGAAAAGAAUACUAUCUUAACCUUCCGUCUGUACACUUAUUUUCACUAACACGGUCUAUACACUGACCCCUUUUUGUUCUGUCCCUUUUUUAAAAAUGGUAAAUACAUGCAAAUCUGAAAAAAUUCCUAAUUACUUUUGUGACUACAUUUUAAAUUGGAUAGUUAUUUUGGUCAUUUAUUCAAUAUUUUUUUUACAAUAACAAUUUACAUUUUCUGAGAUUGACAAGAAAUGGAAUUUUGUAAAAAAAAUUCAUAACUUAAUGAUAAAUUAUUAUUAAGAAAAAUUUUUUUGAGGUUUUUUAAAUUAAGGUAUGACUUUUCAGAAAAAAUUAUUCUAUAUGUGUCGGUUGCAAAAAUUAUAAUUAUUUGCAUGAUUGAAAAUAAGGUAUUUUUCGGACGUCUAUGAAGCUGGAAGAACAAGGUCGUCGAAAAUGAAAAACAAUAGCAUGAGAAUUAGGUACUUUUUAGGUGCUAUUUAGGUGCUCCAUUCAAAAAUUAGGUGCUCUUCCCGUUUUUCCGGAAAUUAAAAUUAUGCGUUGUACUGCCAGCUUGACGUAAGCUAGCAGCACACCCAACUAAUAUCUAAACUAAAAGAAGAGCCCUAAAAAAAUCGAAAGGGUUCCAUAAUUAGGUGCUUUUUAAGUGCUUUUGAAUGGUCAAGCUCGCGGAGUCGUAUCACUACCCUUUCGCCCAAAAACACCCUUUUAACGAUAUAGAUAUCAAGAAAAAAAUGUUAUAAAUGAUUGGAAUAAAAAAUAAAUUUAUAUACAGAAAAUAGGUUUUAAUUAAGUGCCUUAUUAAUGUACCACUAGCGAAUUAAGUGAUCUACCCCUUAGUUAGCAGCGCACCCAACUAAUAUCACUGAAGGAAGAUUCCUAAAUAAACCGAAAAGCUUUAACUAGGGUGUACUUUUUAGGUGCUUUUGAAUAAUUAAGCUCGCGGAGUCGUAUCUCUACCUCUUAGUCCAAAAACAUCCCCUUAACAUCAGUAUUAAGAGAAAAAUGCUAUAAAUAAUUAAAAUAAAUUAAUUUAUAUAGAGAAAAUGUUUUAAUUGAGUGCCUUAUUAAUGUACUACCAGCGAAAUAAGUGAUCCACCCCUUAGUCCAAAAAUCCACUCCUUACAGUAUGUCGCUCUUAAUACUAACUUACAAAAUUAAUAUAAUUAAACUAUUUUCAUCUAUCAAAUCUGAAAGUACUUUAUACAAAUAUACAUACAGGGGUUUAAUGACAAGAAAUUACAAGCUUUCAAAUAUUCUGUAUCUCAUUUUUGACAUACAUUAUUAAAUGUAGAGAUAUUGUUUUUUGUUAUUUAGUUUUUUAGGUGAUUUGGCCACAUCGUCAUAUUCUAAAAGCGACAUACUGUAGGAGGUGAAUUUUUGGACUAAGGGGUGAACAUUUAAUUCGCUGGUGGUACAUUAAUAAGGCACUCAAUUAAAACCUAUUUUUUGUAUAUAAAUUAAUUUUUUGUUUUAAUUAUUUAUAGCAUUUUUCUCUUGAUACCUAUAUCGUUAAGGGGGUGUUUUUGGGCGAAGGGGUAGAGAUACGACUCCGAGAGCUUGACCAUUCAAAAGCACUUAAAAAGCACCUAAUUAUGGAACCCUUUCGAUUUUUUUAGCUCUUCUUUUAGUGAUAUUAGUUGGGUGCGCUGCUAACUAAGAGGUAGAUCACUUAAUUCGCUGGUGGUACAUUAAUAAAGCACUUAAUUAAAACCUAUUUUCUGUAUAUAAAUUUAUUUUUUAUUCCAAUCAUUUAUAACAUUUUUUUCUUGAUAUCUAUAUCGUUAAAGGGGUGUUUUUGGGCGAAAGGGUAGUGAUACGACUCCGCGAGCUUGACCAUUCAAAAGCAUUUAAAAAGCACCUAAUUAUGGAACCCUUUCGAUUUUUUUAGGGCUCUUCUUUUAGUGAUAUUAGUUGGGUGCGCUGCUAGCUUACGUAAAGCUGGCAGUACAACGCAUAAUUUUAAUUUCCGGAAAAACGGGAAGAGCACCUAAUUUUUGAAUGGAGCACCUAAAUAGCACCUAAAAAGCACCUAAUUCUCAUGCUAUUGUUUUUCAUUUUCGACGAUCUUGUUCUUCCAGCUUGAUAGACGUAUUUUUCGGAUAAUAAGAAUAUAAUAAAAUGGUGAAUUUUCACAUAAAUCUUUUUAUUAUAAAAAAUUAUAGUAUAUUAUUACAAAAAAUUUAAAUAUAUACAAUGUAGAAUGAUCAAAAUUGAAGAAAUAAUAAUAUUAACUAUGUUUUUGUGCGCCAUCUAAACAGAAAAUUGUGCGAUGAUAGUCGCAAAUUGGCUCGCCACAUAUACCACACAAAACCACGUUUUUUAUUAUCUGAGGAUGGACAUACAGAACAUCUUUUUCGUUUGUUCAUUUUUAUAUUAGGAUUAAAAGCCUAAGUAAAGUCAUUGCCAUUAUUUAAAAUUUCUUGAAUUGUGUGACGUAAAUAGCUUCUUUUAAUAUUUUUAUUUCUAAAUGGCGUUGCAAAUGUUGGCUUUACUAAAUUGAAAGCCACGUUUUUCAAAAAGUCACAUUGAUUUAAAAAUAGAUUUUUUUGUCGCAAAUAGUAUAAAAUUGAUGAAUUUAUGCCAGCAUGAUAAAGCAUGCAACAUAUGCAAGAGCCAGUGAUCAGACAUGUCCAAGAAGCCAUUGUGAUUAAAUUGCCUUUAUCGAUUAAAAAAAGCAGAUUAUGCUUGUAACUUAAGUAAAAACAUAAAAAUAACAAAAUAAUUAAGAAAAAUACAAAAAUUAAAUAUUUUUUACUGUCACGAAAUAUUAACACAGUCUGUACAUUGGGCCUUUUUGGGAACACUUGAAAAUAUACAUGCUGUUUUAACAAGUGCUGGAUCGAAGCGCUCUUUUGGGUACAAGUAUUUACUAUUACUAAGUUUUUUUUAAGGAGGGAAGUCAAGCUUUGCCUAUCAUUAGUCUUGUGGCUACACAAGUGAAAAAUUUCGUUCGUUCCCUUUUAGGGUUAGUGUACAGACGGAGAGUUAAGAAUAAAAUAUACUCACACACAAUACAAACCUUUGAUGUAAGUGAACAUUUUUAGUUGACAGUAUUCUAUGCAAGACAUAUAGCGUUCAAGAAUAAAAAAUUACUUGCUGCCGAGAAUUUAUUUUUUUCGGUAUAAUUUCAUACAUUUUGUUUGCGUGUGUAUAUUAUCUGUAUUAUUGUCAAACUAUAUUGUACAUAUUUCUAUGUAAAAUUAUACCAAUUUGUAAAAAUAUUUACAUAACGUAAUGGAAGAACUUUUUAUGAUUUUGAUACUGUGACAAGAAAAUUAAAUAGAGGAAAGACUGAAUUUGGAAUAGUUCCCUAAAUUAGAAUUCCUUAUUUCUCGGAAGCUAAACUUUGCACCGUAUGAAUACCAAUACAUGAUCCGCUUGUUUAAUAAAAAAAAUAAAAACCUAUAUUUUAUACAUUUGUCUUUUUUUACGUAAAAUCUGCUAAAAACGAAUUCAAAAGCGAGAGUUUUGUUUGCACAAUUUUCUCUUUAAAAUGCAGUUUAAACAAUAGUGAGUGUAUUAUUAAUAACAUUAUCAUCAUUUUACAUGUUUGUAGUUUCCUAAAACUGUUUCUUUUUAUUUUUCUCUUUUAUAUUUAUUUUGUAGUGCAGUUGUAAAUAUGAAGUUGUUGUGUGUGCGUAAAUUGAAAUUCUCCAGAGGUCUAGUAUGGUAACUGUUACUACACCGUGAUCGUAACUUUAAUAUACAACCUAUAUGUAUAAUAACUUAAAUGUUUCGAGGUGAGAUUUCACAAGAUACAAUAGACGAGUCGAAAAAAGUGUGCCUGUUAAAAAAUAUGCUUUGUAAGCGAACCUAAUGGAAUAAUAUAGAGUCUAUAGAGUACUAGUAAUAUACUAGCACACAUACUAUUAUCAAAAGGGGUGAUCAUAUUUAAACUUCUACAUGAGAGUGAAACUGAGAAGAUGUUAGAGUUUAAAAGUGGCUUCUCACUCUUUUAUAGAGUCUAUAGAACGAACAGGGAACGGACAGAAGUGUCUUUCACCGAUUUUAAUGAGCUUUGGAUAGUUUGUAGAACAUAAAAAAAAAUUAGAUCUAUAUUUUUUUAGCGGUGUUUCUCGACGUUUAGGGGUUGAAACCAUGGAUAAAGUUCCGAAAAGGGUAAUCCUCCGAUCGCGCUGAAAUUUUAACCAAAGCUCACCCUUGAUUAGAGAAGAAAGUCCCUAAAAGGAUUUUUGGCGACAAAGCCUCGUUUGCCCCCCAGCUUCCUUCAAAGUUUUUACAGUUUUCACUAAAUAUCUCGGAAAAUAUUGAUUUUAGAGAAAAAAGUUUGAAACAAAAAAUGAAGCUCAUAAAAAGCUCUACAAAAAAGUUUAUAUACAUUUUUUACGUAAACCUAUUAUUUUGGCUGUUAUAAAGAAAAAGUUUUUUUAAUCAAAAUUUUUAAAGUUUUUAUUAUAUAUCUCGGAAAAUAUUAGCUUAUAAAAAAUAGGUAGAGAAAAUGCGUGGUAUACAGAACACACACGCACGCACGCACGCACGCACGCACGCACGCACGCACGUACACAUAUAUGUAUCUAUGUAUGUAUACAUAUAUAUAUCUAUUGUCAUGUCUUUUUUUCUGCGCGGGGUAAGCCGCGAGCAAAAAGAUAGCGUCAACGGAGAUCGAUUGAGACGACGAUAAAAUACCGCCGUCCGAAACAGCCCGCCUAACUUCUCGCGCGCGAAUCUCGGCGACACAAACGACCGGAUUGGGCGCCAGACGUGCUCGAUGGCACGUCAAUUCGCGAGAUUCACGAAAACAGCCUUAAUUCGCGCGCGAAAAAAUGGCUAGCUCUCCUAACGGCAGAGCGGCAGGGUCUAGGAAAGGGGCAUACGUUACGCGAGAGCGCGGAGCGCGACAGAAAAGCAAAUGUCAACAUAGUCGAUUAUUAACAAAAAUAAAGUUUAUUAAAAAGAAAAGAAAUUAAAUGUAAGAACGGUGAAUAAACGUUAUUAGAUAUCAACGUGAAAGGUAAUAGCACGCGCCAAACGAUACGGGCGCACGUGAACACCGGCGCACCGGCCUCACUAAUCCGUGAGCGCGCGGGCACGACCUUCCUCGCGCAACGCUACACUGUUUCCAGGCGGACGAGAUAUGCCAACAAUCCCGGCAACCAUAGACCGCGACCGCGAUAUCCGUUCCGCGACAUUCGUUGCUUUCAAAACCGAUUGCGCUAUACCAAAUUACUCGCGCGACGCUGUGAUCGCGGCCGAUAUCCGCGGGGACUAUUUUUCCCACGCGGCGCUACGCGGCUUGCUCGGGCGAGGGCUUUGCGGCGCAUGCGGUCGCUACUUCCUGGGGAACCGUUCACGGAAUCCGCUCUCCUCUUCGGCCACGAUACCCGACGCUAUCCCGCUCCUCUCACUUGAGUUCGACAAUUUACCAACAACGCGAGGCCGCCCGCAACGCGUUACGCAACACGAACACGAAACUAUGUCGGACGCAGAACGAGAAUGGGGUGGCUCGCCGAUCAGUUUACAACACACGGUCGAGACGAAAUAAUCGGGCCACCUCACCGAUACUUGUCCGGGCUGCUACCGCUCUUCCGUCACCAGGCCGCCUUCGAGGGGAAGCUCUUCCGUUAUCGUCUUCCCGAGGAUCGCUGACCGAUAUUAAGGCGGGUUCGCUAUUUUUCCCGAAACAUGCUCUUUAUACGACCGUACGCAAAAAGCCCGGGGGAUCGCGGUCGAUCCGCGAUCAAUGACGCGAAACCCUCUACUAAAGGCUGAACGCCAGUUCUCGCGCAUCCCGCUGCCCAAUCACUGCAGGGCGAGCAGUCCUGCGCCCGCAGGACCGUGAGCGCUCUUAUUCUUCCGGGUGCCCCACGGGCCCCCGCGAAGAUAAAAUUUUUCCGCCGGCAACCUCCGGCGUCUCGGCGAUCUCUGCCGCCUUCCUUCUCUUGCCCGCGGGAGGGACCCGCAUCCCGCGGGGGUAGUCGCACGUCCUCGACUUUUACGCCGUCUCCAGGAGGCUUGCCGUUCCGUUAUUAGCGAGGCGUCGACCUUUUUCGCACCACGGCCCCGGUUUUUCCGGUGCGCUUGCUUGCGCCCCGCCGCUCGUCUCGUUGGAGUUGCCGGAUUCGCGGAAUCCUCCGGGCGCGCCCAUCCUUCCGCACUUGCCGCUGCCUCCCCCUCGCACUCCUGGCUGUUGAUGCGGGAAGUGCUCGCCGAGUUACCGAAAAGAAUACAAGAUUUAGCUUAUCUACUCUACAUUCGUCGUGAUUCGCCCGGGAGAUUUCCCGAUUCGCUCUCGCUUCUCCGUCCGGCGCGAACUGGCAGCCUGUGACGGGGGAGGGACGCUGUUUGUCGUGAUAGCGGAACUGCCACGUCACAAUAUAUUUUGCAUGUUAAAUUUAUUCGCCCGUGUUGUGUGCAAAAUGUAUAAUUCGUGUCGUGUGCAAAAUGUACAUCCGUAUAAAUGUAUCAAAAGACAUGGUAGGAUCCUGCGCCAAGUGAAAGCGCAGCGCGAGACAGAUCGUGUAUAUUUACGCGAUUUGCGAACAUCUAAAAUUAUUAGAUCUCAAUAACGGCCAAAUAUAAACAUAACGGGAAGUUGCCUUUCUAACUCGUAGUUGGUAAUGUCAGUAAGUAUAUUGGAUAGUGUAUUGUCAUAAGUAUUGUUUUUUUUGUGAACAUGUAAGUAUCUGCUUUUAAUUUGUAUUUGUACUUUUUUACUCUUUUGUCUUUCUUUACUUUAUUAUAUCUUUAUCAUGUUUUUUUUCAAUAUUUAAACCUCAAAAAAUGUUUAUUUAAUUUAUAAAACAACAAAAUUUUAUUUCGAUAUAAACAUAAAUAUAUCAAACACGACAAAUUUAUUCGUAAACGUUUUAACCGUUUUAUUUAUUCAGUUUUGAUGGCUUAAUUUAUUUUGAUUUAUUAUUUUUUUAUCAAGAGAAAGCAAAGAGUAAGAAGCGACAUAACUAUCAUAAAUAGACAAUUCUGUUAAUUAUGAAAUGUAUUAUUUUUUGUAUAUGAUAAAAGGUUGAGAUAUAUAUUUAAUUUUAAUAUUUUAACAUGUUUUAAUUUAGUCCAUAUAAUGUGAUAUUUUUACUUAUGAUAACCUUCAAUGGUAUGGAUUAUCCGAUAACUUCGCAGGAAAGACGAAUAAAUAAAAAAAAUUGAACAUGUUAUUGGAAAUAAAAAAUAAUGAGCAAUUUUAAUUCGAAGAGGAAGAAACUUUAGACUUUUAUGAUGAGUAUGAGAUUCCAGAAGCGGAAAAAGUUGAUUUAUUAGAGGCGGAUGAAGAGAAAAUUUAUUUUUUAGAUGAAGUUAUUUGUGAUUUAGUUGAAGAAACAAUAUCAACUGACUAUAAAAGACAAGCUGUGAAAUACUGGAAAAGCGGUAAAACAAAACCAAGAUUGCUUCACAAAGUUAGCACUUGAGAAAAAAAUCAUUCAUGAUAUUGAUAUCGCUCGAUGGACUUCUUGAGUAGAAGAAGAGGAAAAUGCAGCAAGAUUUAAAGCUUUAGAGAAAUGGACACAAGAUUUAAAAAAACACAUAAUAUUGUGUCUAAAAAAAUAACAAAAUUUGUUACACAAAGGUCUCCACUAUCAAAACUUAAUUUAGAAAAUAAAUACGAUACAUUUAUUAUAAAUGCAGGAUUGGAAUUCUUUUAAUUUACAUUUUAACGUGCGAACAAUAUCCGCCUCGAGGAAAUAAUUUGUCUUGUUCGUCAUAUUUAUUGGGUUAUUUUCUUUUGGACACGUAACGAUUGGAUAUGACUUGAAUGGACACGCACUAUUAGACACGGCACGAUUGGACACCGCAUUAUUGAACACCGCAUUAUUGGACACUGCACAGUCUUUUAGUGAAAAACAUUAAUAUAUUAUAUGACAGAUUAUCUAACCUUAGAAACAGAAAGAAGUGGCAGUUUUCUGGCAGAAAAAAGUGUUGCUCUGCCAGAAAAAAAAGUGAAUUUUAAACGUUUAUAUACGUAAUUUUAUAUACGUAUUUUUACGAACAUUUUGUUUUGCGUGGAAAGUCGCAAACCCAUGUGGUGCAGAGAAUGCUUCGCACACGCACGCACGCACGCACGCACGCACACACAGUGUCACAUUUAUACAUGCGGAUAUAUAUGUGUUUAUAUACAUAUGCGAGCAAGUUGACAAGUGCACGCAAUAAACCUUAAAAUAGCAAUUAAAAAAAUUUAUAUUUCCGAAACUAGACAGAAAGUUCGCACAAAUUGUAAUUUUUUAUUAGAGCUAUAAGUACUACAAUAUAUAAAAAAUUCAAGGAAAUUGACAGAGCUUUUUUUUUUAUAUAAAUUGUGUGGGGUCCUUUGCAGGAGUCUUUGUUAAGUGGAUUUUUAAAAAAAUUAUGUCUUAGAUUUAGAUACAAAUGGAAUAUUAUAUUUAUUGCGUACGGUAAAAUUGAUGUAAAAAAAGUGAUCCGCUUGAUAUAAAAAAUUACACGAUGGAUAUAUUAUUCUAUUUGCAUCCAAAUCCAAGACUUGAGUCUAAAAAAGUGACUUGUUGAUACUGGAUAAACCACAGGUGAAUACUGACUGUCGUAAUCCGUCUGUGAAAAAAUAAAAAUAUCGUUGAUGACGAACAUAAUGUCACUGAACAGAUACUGAACUGAGUCGAUCAUAGUUUUGUGCCGAAUAUGUGUGAACAUGUCUAUUCAAAACAAAUAAACAAUAUUUAUAAUCACUGACACUGACGGAAAAUUACGGAUCUGAGAGGAUACGGCACUGAUACGUUACAUACGGAUAUGUGUAAAUUGACCUUUAAAAUAUGCCACUAAAUUCUUGGGACCAUACCAGAUAAUAAAAGUUUUACGCAAUGAUAGUUAGAAAAAUAGGCGACCAUAAAGGGCCAAUCGAAACUUCAACAGCCACCGAUUAUUUAAAGCCGUGGUUAGAAAACGACGACCAUUAAGAUGACGAUGACAACAGUAAUCGGGACGAAAUCUGAGGACAGAUUUAAUUGUCAGAAGGGCCAAAUGUAGGAUCGAAAUUUUUUAAAUUUAUAUUUUCAUGUGCGAACAAUAUUCGCUUCGAGGAAAUAAUUUGUUUCGUUCGUUAUAUUUAAGACAAGUUUGGCAAUAUAAUAGAGACAUAAGUACAACAUUGUAAGACGAAGCGUCUUUUAUCUUGACGAGAUUGUAAGACGACUUUAGUAAGAUAACCAAAAAGUAAGAAUAUUUUAGACUAUGUAGCGACUGGAAUAAAUGCAGUGGAAUAGCUGUGGAGAGUGAGUUCUUGCCCGAAUCGAAUACUGUACACAUCGCUGAAUUCUCUUCUACUCUCUUUGAUUUAAAUAUAUUCUAUCAUUCUUUUAUUAAUACCCAGCCGUUUUCUAGCCUACCGUGUUUCUGACUUUACACAAAUGUAAAAUAUUAUAUUAAUUAAUAUGAUGUGGAAAAUAUUUAGAAUUUGGAUCAGAGUGGAUUUCAGCUAGAAUUCCAUUCGUACUUUAGCUUAAAAAGGUAUUAAAAAUGUAGAAUGUGUACAGUCUAUCAGCAACCACGCACAGCUAUACAAUUUAACCGACUAUUUUGACUGAUUAUUAUCACCUCUUUUUAUAGUAUUAAAAGAAAUUACAAAAACAUUUCGUCCGAGAGUACAAGAAACAUUAUUCAACGCGCCUAAUAUCUUUGUUACGGCUUCAAAAUCAGGCAAAUUCAAACAUCAAAUAACAUUAAAUCAUGUAAAAACUUGGUUAAAGGAAGUAUUUCUUCUGAAUGUCGGGCCACAGUCAAUAUUGUUGUUAGAUUCAUGUCCUAACAUAAUUUUAGAAACUAAACCAGAUUCUGCAACAGAUAUUGUUUUUCUAAGUAUUCCGGCCGAUACAACGGGAAAACACAGCCAUUAGAUGUAUACGGAUUCCGGAAGAAUUUUAUUAAAUAUUUUUCUGAUACUGUUAUGUUGUUAGAUCUGGCUUUUGAUUUUUAUAAUAGAAAUAAUAUCUUGAAAUUACAGUCAUUAACGCACCAUUAAUUCUCGUCGUCUAGGUUUCAAAAUGUAUUUAAAUAUGCUUGGAUUAAAAGUGGAUACGUACAGAAAACGAUGAUUACUUGCAGGCUAUACCGAUAAAAUUUGAAACACCAGUAGAGAUUUGUUUUAAAAAGAAUUUUGAAGUAAAAUGCGAUCUUUGUAACGAAAUAGCCAUAAUAACUUGUUUUUGGUGUAGAAAAUCGUUUUGUAUAACACAUUUUUACCAUGAACAUUAUCUUUGAAAGCAUGCUAUCAAUUUGUUGCUUUAAUCUGAUGUCUUACUGUUAAUGGCAAUUCUGUUGUAGUAUUGCAAUAAAUUUUGUGUUAGAAUAUGAUAUUAAGUUUUGUUUGCAAUUGAAACGUACUCGAGGACACAAUAAGCCCAUGGAUUUGGCAACCUUAUUAUGCAGAAAAUUGUUUCCCUAUUAGUAAUUUGGAAGCAAAUGGUUAGCUGGGAAUAAAUUCUGUUGAACCAUUAAACUAAACUUUAAUAAUUAAAAUGUAUUUUUUGUAAUGUCUGCCAUAUUGGAUUAGCCAUUUUGAAUUUCUCUUUGACUUUAAAUUUGUAAUUAGCGACAUAAAAACUUUAGAGUAUGUUAUCUUGAAUUUUUUAAGUGUCAAAAACACUAUUUUGAAGAACAUAAGCUUUAUUGCUGAUGAACUUUGAUCCUUUCUAUCUCAGAAAUCAAUUGUCACCUUAAAAUAAAAAUUUGCGAGAAUUUAUAUCGCAUUAUAAGAUAAUAUUUGACAUGCAAUUUACUUGAAAAAUCGAGGGACUAAAAAUGGACGAAUUUGUAGGUCAUUUUUUAACCCUUGUUUGACGGAGUGGGAAGACUUCCACGAUAAACCCCUAUGAAUUGGACAGUUUUUAUGCAAUUAAUGUCAAAAUUUGCAUAAAAGGAUUUUAAGGAUUGCUAAUUUUAAAUCUGAUGUCGAAAAUUUAAAGUUUAAAAUUGCGGAUUCAAAAUGGCUGACUUAAAGUAUCCAUAUAUAAACGUGGUAUCAAAAUGUACAAAUUUUACACAAAAACAUUUUUCUAAGGGUUUUUGAGGUUGCUGAUUACAAAUUUGAUAUCAAAAAUGCAAAAUUUACAAUAAUCGAUCCAAAAUGAUGGACCUAAAAUAUCCAUAUAGUAGGUGUACAACUUUGCUUCUGCUGUUUUUUUUUCGAAAUUUGAGGCUUUAUAGUGAAAAACUGGUUAUACAUUUACGAUUUAAAGUAUUGUCCAUCGCUGGCCACUACUUUUUCCCAUCUUUUUGGCAGCAUACGAAUCCCGCGUCGAAAAAACUGGUCAUUUUUUGAGACGAUCCACAAAUCGAUCCAAUUUUUUACUUUUUCAUAAGAACGGAAGUGUUGGUCGGCCAGGCCGUGUGUCAUUGAUUGAAACAAGUGAUAGAGGGAGCAAUGUCCGAAGAAUACGGCGGGUGGGGUAGGACUUUCUAUUUCAACGUUUCCAAGUGUUUUGACGGGCUUUGCGACGUGCACUGUCAUGCUGAAAAAUUACUUCAUCGUGUCUAUCGUUGUAUUGCGGCCGUUUGUUUUUUAAUGCUUGGCUCAAACGCAUCAAUUGCUUUUCAUACCGAUCGCCUGUGAUUGUUUCAGUCGGUUUUAGUAGCUCAUAAUACACUACGCCGAACUGGUCCCACCAAAUACAGAGCAUGACCUGUUCAUGAAGCGUUGAAACCACUCUCGGCUUUCACUAAUAGCGGCCUCAUCAUACGAAUUUGAGAGCAUUUGAUGAGCCUCAGCCACAGAUUUUUUCAUAUUGAAGCUAAAAAUUAAAACCUUUCGCAAAUGACGAGAAUUUGACUCGUAAGCUGACAUUUUCAAUCGAGAAUAACUUUAUGAUGCAGACACAAAUCGACUAAUAUUUCGAUGACGUUAUGUUUACAGAUGCCUAAGCUUAUUGUAUGAUGUCUACGAUCUAUUUAUUUCGACCACUACUUAUCGCUACAGUCAUCUAUUGAAAAACCGCGGAACAAAGUUGUACACCUAAUAUAAACUGUUACGACUUUUUCCUCCGCGCGGGGAAAACCGCGAGCAAAAAA